AUGACGCGGUCGGCNAGGCUUACACAGCCAAGUCGUUGAAGGUAACAUUAUCUAGCUUGCUACAACGAUGACUUAGCGGCAGGACUGGGUGAGUAAUACUUCAGGGAAUCUACCUUAGUAUUGGGGCGAUAGCUCUGGGGAAACUCGUAUUAAUACCGCAUACGUCCUACGGGAGAAAGGGGGCAACUUGUUGCUCUCGCUAUUAGAUGAGCCUAACGUCGGAGAUUGAUGCUAGAUGUGUGGGGUAAGAGGCCUACCAUGGUCGACGAUCUGUAGCUGGUCUAGAGAGGAUGAUCAUGCCACAGCGGGACUGANACGACGGCCCGGACUCCUACGGGAGGCAUCAGUGGNGGAAUAUUGGACAAUGGGGGAAACCCUGAUCCANCCAUGCCGNGUGUGUGAAGAAGGCCUUUUGGUUGUAAAGCACUUUAAGCAGUGAAGAANACUCUUCGGUUAAUACCCGGAGACGAUGACNUNAGCUGCAGAAUAAGCACCGGNUAACUCUGUGCCAGCAGUCCGCGGUAAUACAGAGGGUGCAAGCGUUAAUCGGAAUUACUGGGCGUAAAGCGAGCGUAGUGGCUUGAUUAAGUUCAAAUGUUGAAAUU
This 605-nucleotide ribosomal RNA is filed under the name Psychrobacter sp. UST050418-256. RNAcentral describes it as "bacterial SSU rRNA". It matches the Rfam family "Bacterial small subunit ribosomal RNA", at positions 30 to 602 of the family's 1533-position model. The record is from RNAcentral. Lineage: Bacteria; Pseudomonadati; Pseudomonadota; Gammaproteobacteria; Moraxellales; Moraxellaceae.